Paramuricea clavata is the source of this 323-nucleotide non-coding RNA. The record is from the annotation of a GenBank genome assembly. NCBI's taxonomy places the organism in Eukaryota, Metazoa, Cnidaria, Anthozoa, Malacalcyonacea, Plexauridae.
GCACUUCCCAAACUCACAUGACCAAACCAGUGGAAUAAAAUAUAAAAUGGAGGAACUCUGAAUAAAUCGAUACCUUGAAUUUUAUUUCAUUUUAAACGGAAGCUCAAAUGCGGCUUCGAAGCAUUUUGAAUAAAUUUUGCCUAAUAUUUUGAAAUUAAUAUAAUUUAGUAUCAUGUGUCUAUUAGACAGAUUUAGAAAAGACGACGCGACCUCAAAGACGACGUGGAUGGCGUCAUUUGGCGCCAACUAUCGUCAGCUUCUGAUUUGCCACGUCGUCUUGGACAAUUUCACGACGCGAAAAUUCAAUUUUCACGUCCUCUCUA